GAUGGAACGCUAGCGGGAGGCUUAACACAUGCAAGUCGAGGGGCAUCACGAGGUAGCAAUACUUUGGUGGCGACCGGCGCACGGGUGAGUAACACGUAUGCAACCUUCCCUGUACAGGGGGAUAACCCGGAGAAAUUCGGACUAAUACCCCAUGAUGAUAUUUAUGGGCAUCCAUUGAUAUUUAAAGCUCUGGCGGUACAGGAUGGGCAUGCGCGACAUUAGCUAGUUGGUAAGGUAACGGCUUACCAAGGCUACGAUGUUUAGGGGACCUGAGAGGGUUGUCCCCCACACUGGUACUGAGACACGGACCAGACUCCUACGGGAGGCAGCAGUGAGGAAUAUUGGUCAAUGGGCGCAAGCCUGAACCAGCCAUCCCGCGUGAAGGAAGAAUGCGCUACGCGUUGUAAACUUCUUUUCCAGGGGGAGAAUUUUCCUGUCGAGACAGGGAUUGACGGUACCCUGGGAAUAAGCAUCGGCUAACUCCGUG
RNAcentral lists this ribosomal RNA (487 nucleotides) under uncultured bacterium. RNAcentral describes it as "bacterial SSU rRNA". It matches the Rfam family "Bacterial small subunit ribosomal RNA", at positions 27 to 507 of the family's 1533-position model. The record is from RNAcentral.